UCUCUGGUAGUAUAUCGGAUAGUACACCCGCCUGUCAUUAGUCAUUCCAAUAACGCGGGAGAGCGGGGUUCGACUCCCCGCCAGAGAG
This is a non-coding RNA of Hydnomerulius pinastri MD-312, 88 nucleotides long. NCBI's taxonomy places the organism in Eukaryota, Fungi, Basidiomycota, Agaricomycetes, Boletales. The record is from the annotation of a GenBank genome assembly.